ACUCCUACGGGAGGCAGCAGUCGAGAAUCAUUCACAAUGGGGGAAACCCUGAUGGUGCGACGCCGCGUGGGGGAGCGAAGGUCUUCGGAUUGUAAACCCCUGUCAAGUGGGAGCAAAUUAAAAAGAUAGUACCACUAGAGGAAGAGACGGCUAACUCUGUGCCAGCAGCCGCGGUAAU
Molecule: ribosomal RNA, 178 nt
Filed under: uncultured bacterium
Lineage: Bacteria
Description: partial 16S ribosomal RNA
Rfam family: Bacterial small subunit ribosomal RNA
Source: RNAcentral